AGUUAAUAAAAUUGUUUAUAAUUAUUAUAUGUUUAUAUAAUUUAAACUAAAGAAUUUAAAGUUAUUGUAUAAUUAAUAAAUUAAAUAAUUUUUACUAUAGUAUAUUAGUAUUGUAAAAGAAGUUUUAAUUAUUAUUAUAAUUAAUCAAAGGUGAUUUUAUUAAUUGUAUCUUGUGUAUCAGAGUAAAUUUAAAUAAAUUAUUUAUUUUUUAUUCUCGAAUUUAAAAGAUUUAAUUAAAAUUAUUAGUUAUUGUAUUAUAAAUAUUAAAAAAUUUUAAUUGGUAAUGAUAUGUUAUUUGUUUUUAAGGAUAUCUAGUUUUUUAAUAAAUGAAUUUAAUUCAUAAAAUAUAAAUUAUUUAUUAAAUAUUUAUUGAUAUAUUUUGUAUUUUAAAUUUUAAAGGGGAUAAAUUCUUUAAAAUAUAAUUAUAAUGGUAGUGUUUUUGAGAAUUUUAUAAAUUUAGAAUUUGUUAUUAAUUAAAGGAUGUUAAAAUUUAAUUCUUUUUUUAUUUUGAUUUAUAGUUAUUAUUUAAUUUUUUUAUUAAAAUGUUAAGUUAAAUUUAAAAUUUUUUGAAAUUAUGAUUUAAUUAGUAAAUAAUAAUAUUAAUUUAUUAAUAUAGAUGAUAUAUUAAUAUAAGGAAUUAGGCAAAUAUUUCACUCGCCUGUUUAUUAAAAACAUGGUUUCUUGAUAAUUAUUUAAGAGAUUUAACCUGCCCACUGAAUAUUAUUUGAAGGGCCGCAGUAUUUUGACUGUGCAAAGGUAGCAUAAUCAUUAGUCUUUUAAUUGAGGACUAGAAUGAAUGGUUGGACGAAGUGAAUUCUGUUUUAUGAUAAUAUAAUUGAAAUUAGUUUUUAAGUAAAAAAACUUAAAUAUUGUUAAGGGACGAGAAGACCCUAUAGAGUUUAAUAUAUGUAGUAAAUAAUUGAGUUAAGGUUUAAUUUUUGGUUAUUAUGAAAUUUAUUUAAUUGGGGUGAUUUAAAGAUAAGAAAAACUUUUUUUAGUGGUUAAUAAUAUAAUUAGUUGUGUGAUCCAAAUUUAAUGAUUAAAAGAUUAAAUUACCUUAGGGAUAACAGCAUAAUUCUUUUUGAGAGUUCAUAUUGAAAAAAGAGAUUGUGACCUCGAUGUUGGAUUAAGAUUAGUUUUGGGUGUAGAUGUUCAAUAACUAGGUCUGUUCGACCUUAAAUAUCUUACAUGAUCUGAGUUUAAACCGGUGUGAGCCAGGUUGGUUUCUAUCUUUAAUUUAGUUAAAUAUUUUAGUACGAGAGGACCAAAUAUUUAAAAUAAUUUUUAUUAAAUUGUAUAUUAUUAAUUA
Molecule: ribosomal RNA, 1309 nt
Filed under: Stagmatoptera biocellata
Lineage: Eukaryota; Metazoa; Arthropoda; Insecta; Mantodea; Mantidae
Description: 16S ribosomal RNA
Rfam family: Archaeal large subunit ribosomal RNA (bases 1063-1221)
Source: RNAcentral